Molecule: ribosomal RNA, 776 nt
Filed under: uncultured Neocallimastigales
Lineage: Eukaryota; Fungi; Neocallimastigomycota; Neocallimastigomycetes; Neocallimastigales
Description: partial large subunit ribosomal RNA
Rfam family: Eukaryotic large subunit ribosomal RNA
Source: RNAcentral
UAUGUGAUCGUCUCUCGCAUAUCAAUAAGCGGAGGAAAAGAAACUAACAAGGAUUCCCCUAGUAACGGCGAGUGAAGCGGGAAGAGCUCAAAUUUGAAAUCUUAAAGGGUUUCCCUUUACGAAUUGUAGUUUAAAGAAGUGUUUUCUGUUGAGGUUUUGGUAAAAGUUCCUUUGGAAUAGGACAUCAUAGAGGGUGAGAAUCCCGUAUUUGACCUUUACUUUCAACUUUGUGAUACACUUUCAAAGAGUCGGAUUGUUUGGGAAUGCAGUCCAAAAUGGGUGGUAAAUUUCAUCUAAAGCUAAAUAUUGGCGAGAGACCGAUAGCGAACAAGUACCGUGAGGGAAAGAUGAAAAGAACUUUGAAAAGAGAGUUAAACAGUACGUGAAAUUGUCAAAAGGGAAGCGUUUGACACCAGUGUUGUUUUUCUGAAAAUCAAUUAAAGAACUGUUUAUGCUAAGUUGUUUAGACUUUAUCAGCUAAUCUGCUUAGUUUUGAGCUUUUCUUUAAUGCACUUUUCAGUUAACAAGUCAACAUCAAUUUCUUUUGCUGUAAAAAAGCUUGAGGAAGGUGGCUUGAGAUUCGUCUUAAGUGUUUAUAGCCUCUUGCCUAUGCAGUCGGAGAGAUUGAGGUCUGCAGCGUAGAUCCUUCGGGGCUAAAUGCAUUUGUGCUAAGUUAUAGCAUUUUAUAGACAACUUGUUGACUAUGAUUUGUCUUGUAGCUUACUCGCUUAUGUUAUUUUACCUACGCUUAGGAUGUUGAGUAGCGACAUACGCAC